RNAcentral lists this ribosomal RNA (417 nucleotides) under uncultured Lachnospiraceae bacterium. RNAcentral's name for it is "bacterial SSU rRNA". It matches the Rfam family "Bacterial small subunit ribosomal RNA", at positions 405 to 825 of the family's 1533-position model. The record is from RNAcentral. Lineage: Bacteria; Bacillati; Bacillota; Clostridia; Lachnospirales; Lachnospiraceae.
GCGAAGAAGUAUUUCGGUAUGUAAAGCUCUAUCAGCAGGGAAGAAAGACUCGUAAGAGAGAUGACGGUACCUGACUAAGAAGCCCCGGCUAACUACGUGCCAGCAGCCGCGGUAAUACGUAGGGGGCAAGCGUUAUCCGGAUUUACUGGGUGUAAAGGGAGCGCAGACGGUCAAGCAAGUCUGAAGUGAAACCCCACGGCUCAACCGUGGGCUUGCUUUGGAAACUGUUUGACUAGAGUACUGGAGAGGUAAGCGGAAUUCCUAGUGUAGCGGUGAAAUGCGUAGAUAUUAGGAGGAACAUCGGUGGCGAAGGCGGCUUACUGGACAGCAACUGACGUUGAGGCUCGAAGGCGUGGGGAGCAAACAGGAUUAGAUACCCUGGUAGUCCACGCGGUAAACGAUGAAUACUAGGUGUUG